UUCCCUCUUUCUUCCUGCUUUCCACAUGCAAGUCGACCGGCAGCGCGGGCUUCGGCCUGGCGGCGAGUGGCGAACGGGUGAGUAAUGCAUCGGAACGUGCCCAGUAGUGGGGGAUAGCCCGGCGAAAGCCGGAUUAAUACCGCAUACGACCUGAGGGUGAAAGCGGGGGACCGAAAGGCCUCGCGCUAUUGGAGCGGCCGAUGUCGGAUUAGCUAGUUGGUGGGGUAAAGGCUUACCAAGGCGACGAUCCGUAGCUGGUCUGAGAGGACGACCAGCCACACUGGGACUGAGACACGGCCCAGACUCCUACGGGAGGCAGCAGUGGGGAAUUUUGGACAAUGGGGGCAACCCUGAUCCAGCCAUGCCGCGUGCGGGAAGAAGGCCUUCGGGUUGUAAACCGCUUUUGUUCGGGAAGAAAUCCUCUGGGCUAAUACCCCGGGGGGAUGACGGUACCGGAAGAAUAAGCACCGGCUAACUACGUG
Molecule: ribosomal RNA, 482 nt
Filed under: uncultured bacterium
Lineage: Bacteria
Description: partial 16S ribosomal RNA
Rfam family: Bacterial small subunit ribosomal RNA
Source: RNAcentral